This 476-nucleotide ribosomal RNA is filed under the name uncultured organism. RNAcentral describes it as "partial 16S ribosomal RNA". It matches the Rfam family "Bacterial small subunit ribosomal RNA", at positions 332 to 799 of the family's 1533-position model. The record is from RNAcentral.
UACACUCCUGCGGGAGGCAGCAGUGGGGAAUAUUGCACAAUGGGCGCAAGCCUGAUGCAGCCAUGCCGCGUGUAUGAAGAAGGCCUUCGGGUUGUAAAGUACUUUCAGCGGGGAGGAAGGCGAUAAGGUUAAUAACCUUGUCGAUUGACGUUACCCGCAGAAGAAGCACCGGCUAACUCCGUGCCAGCAGCCGCGGUAAUACGGAGGGUGCAAGCGUUAAUCGGAAUUACUGGGCGUAAAGCGCACGCAGGCGGUCUGUCAAGUCGGAUGUGAAAUCCCCGGGCUCAACCUGGGAACUGCAUUCGAAACUGGCAGGCUAGAGUCUUGUAGAGGGGGGUAGAAUUCCAGGUGUAGCGGUGAAAUGCGUAGAGAUCUGGAGGAAUACCGGUGGCGAAGGCGGCCCCCUGGACAAAGACUGACGCUCAGGUGCGAAAGCGUGGGGAGCAAACAGGAUUAGAUACCCUAGUAGUCCCAUG